GAUCUUGGUUCAGGAUGAACGCUGGCGGCGUGCCUAACACAUGCAAGUCGAGCGAUCUUCUUCGGAAGAGAGCGGCGGACGGGUGAGUAACGCGUGGGUAACCUGCCCUGUACACACGGAUAACAUACCGAAAGGUAUGCUAAUACGGGAUAACAUACUUUUUAUCGCAUGGUAGAAGUAUCAAAGCUCCGGCGGUACAGGAUGGACCCGCGUCUGAUUAGCUAGUUGGUAAGGUAACGGCUUACCAAGGCGACGAUCAGUAGCCGACCUGAGAGGGUGAUCGGCCACAUUGGAACUGAGACACGGUCCAAACUCCUACGGGAGGCAGCAGUGGGGAAUAUUGCACAAUGGGCGAAAGCCUGAUGCAGCCAACGCCGCGUGAGCGAUGAAGGCCUUCGGGUCGUAAAGCUCUGUCCUCAAGGAAGAUAAUGACGGUACUUGAGGAGGAAGCCCCGGCUAACUACGUGCCAGCAGCUGC
This 478-nucleotide ribosomal RNA is filed under the name uncultured bacterium. RNAcentral's name for it is "bacterial SSU rRNA". It matches the Rfam family "Bacterial small subunit ribosomal RNA", at positions 15 to 518 of the family's 1533-position model. The record is from RNAcentral.